Molecule: long non-coding RNA, 777 nt
Organism: Hipposideros armiger (great roundleaf bat)
Lineage: Eukaryota; Metazoa; Chordata; Mammalia; Chiroptera; Hipposideridae
Exons: 3
Source: RefSeq, a predicted model, not a curated record
UGAGCCAGGGCUCCCCAGGGGUUUGCAAGUGAACGAGUGAAGGCGUGCACGCACGACUUGGCUCCUACUCCCUGUCCUCAGCGGAGGGGACAACACAGCAACUCACUCUCCCUCCCGCUUCCAGGACAUCUUAAUGGGGCAUAAGGAAGGGCAGAGGGGGUCCAUGAGUGUCUGGAAGAUAUUAUGGGUGUCUGAAUUUUUCUGGGGAGACAAUCUAUAACUUUACAUGUUCCCAGAGGUUUGUUGACCGCAAAGAGAUGAAAAGCCAGGGCAAAACUCUGACGCCCCUGUGUGAUGAUAGGACUUUUUCUGGCACCUUCUGCAAACCUUUUGUAGGCUGCAGCGACCACAGGAGGCAGGGUUUCCAUCCCCAGGACAAACGCUGUCACCCACGGAGGUUGCCUGCAUGGAUCCCACAUCCCACACAGCUGAAAAGACAUUCAGAGGGAAAGGGCUUUUCAUGGCGACAAGACCUGGAAACACAAACGCUGCUGCCCGCGGGGACAGAUAAGAAACUGAUGCCUAAAGAAGUGAAGUGAUUUGCCAAAAACCCAGGAUGACCUGACCCCAAUGUGGAACCUCCAAUGUUGGUGUCCCAUGCAUUCAUGCACGUGACUGGGACUUGGUGACCAGCUGAGAUCAGCUGCAAAGGGGGCACCAGUUACAGUCUCUUUAAUCAGAGACACUCAACCCACAUUUAUUAACUCUGUUCUUAUUUAAAAGCCUUCUAAAAUCCAGUUAUACUAUGUCCACAGUAUUUCCAAAUAACCCCCUUUA